RNAcentral lists this long non-coding RNA (1502 nucleotides) under Triticum aestivum (bread wheat). Its description in RNAcentral is "long non-coding RNA (TAES_LNC015208)". The record is from RNAcentral. Lineage: Eukaryota; Viridiplantae; Streptophyta; Magnoliopsida; Poales; Poaceae.
ACACGGGGGGCGCCUAUCCCGCUGUGCCACCGAUCACUUAAUUCGGCUCUCUCGACUGGUGCAUAAUAUGCUUAAUUAUGUUGUGAUUUUUCUGUACCAAUGAAUGAUCCGGGUGAGUGGUUAAAAUAUUUGUUGGCACACGUGGCUGUGUUAGUGAGAGGUCAAUCCGCAUCCUUUUCCACUAAUUAGCGUGAUUUUGAUAAGUUCAGAUUCUGAAAAGGAGAAGAAAGCCUCAGGGGCAGAGUAUUCAGGAGGACACCAAUCCAAAUCUAUGGUGUUUGAGGCAGCUUGAAAGAAGGUUUGCUGCAGGGAAGAGAUAGAAAGAGCGAAAUAGAGAGGGCAGGGGCGUGAUCUGUUGUAAGUAUGAAGUGAAGUAAUCCUUCCUGUCCUGCUGUUUGUUUUCGCAAGUCUGUUUUGCACAACUUUGUUUGCAGUGCGUGCAGUAACCGAUCGAUUGCGUUUUGAGGGUUCUAGGUGUCGAAUAUGACCGGGCCAUUAAAAUAAAAGUUGUAUAUCUUUUCAAGACCUUCCCAACGAAUAUUUAUUUGCAAUUUUUCGUCAGGUAUUCUAGGAGAUAAUGCCUAUCUGAAGUUACUGUCAGUUUUUGUCAGACUGCAGUUUUAGGCAUGACUUCCUAUUUUGCGAGGCGUUUCAAAGUAACUUCAAGGCUGAAUCUGUCCAUGGGGCUAUGGAUGUAUUUUCAGUAUUUGGUUUGAAAUUUCCAUGGAGAAUUUUUUCUCAAAUUUUCGCUGAGUAUAGUGAAAGAUACAACCUUCUGAAUGCUGCUGUCCAUUGCGAGUUCUGUUCUGAACUUCUGACAGUUACUGUUUUCUGUAUUGAGAUUUGAGAGGCAUUUUAAAAUAUCUGUCUAGAGUACAAUUAACAUAGAUAUAAUUCAUUGUUUGAUCUUUCCACAGAGUAUGUAAGUACUAUUUUUUAUUGCGUCUACAAGGAGUAAUUUAACAUUGCUAUCCGUUUCAGUUAACUUUGUAAGAUCUUCCUGAAACUGUAUAGUUUCGGUUGUGAGUUUCAAAUUGGUUUGCCAUUUUGACGGUACUUAGAGGCCGAAUGUGUUGUCUUGAACGAAACUGUUGCAUCUUGCUUUAGAUGUUUUUUGAUAAGGUAACAGCUGCCUAAACUGAAGAAUCAUUAACUCCCUCGUCGUGUAACUUCCCUGCUGCAGGUGAUUGGAUCAGCGAACCUUCUCUGUAGUUUAGGAUUUGAUCAGUUCGAGGAACGUGGUAUGUCCCUAGCAAAAUUCUUUCACCUUAUUAAUCUUCUGCGUUCUUUAGCAGUGCGCUGGUCCAUGCAGUAUCAUCAGAGUCAUGGAUCUUUGACAGAAUGUAACGCAUGGGCAGUAUAGUAUUCUCUCAUGUUAUGUGAACCCUCAGAUACCUUUUCAUGAGACUGAACCCAACUGUUCCCGAAUUUCUUAUGUGUUUGUGUAUACGAUGGUACAUAAGUGAGUUUCACCAUUAUUGGUCUAUUUCUUGAUGUUUUUU